Molecule: ribosomal RNA, 253 nt
Filed under: uncultured bacterium
Lineage: Bacteria
Description: partial 16S ribosomal RNA
Rfam family: Bacterial small subunit ribosomal RNA
Source: RNAcentral
UACGGGGGGGGCAAGCGUUGUUCGGAAUUACUGGGCGUAAAGGGCUCGUAGGUGGCCAACUAAGUCAGACGUGAAAUCCCUCGGCUUAACCGGGGAACUGCGUCUGAUACUGGAUGGCUUGAGUUCGGGAGAGGGAUGCGGAAUUCCAGGUGUAGCGGUGAAAUGCGUAGAUAUCUGGAGGAACACCGGUGGCGAAGGCGGCAUCCUGGACCGGCACUGACACUGAGGCACGAAAGCGUGGGGAGCAAACAGG